This is a non-coding RNA of Podarcis lilfordi (Lilford's wall lizard), 9374 nucleotides long. The record is from the annotation of a GenBank genome assembly. NCBI's taxonomy places the organism in Eukaryota, Metazoa, Chordata, Lepidosauria, Squamata, Lacertidae.
GAAGACCUUUCUCAAUUGAUUUGGAUGAAGGAGCUGGCAUCAAGGUGUGUGUCUGAAGGAGAACAGAAGGAACCUCAGUCUUGAGGUAAGAUAUAGAAUCAUACAGAGGCCAGAUUUGCUCUCUGUGAGAACCCAAAACUGUAGGUUUAGUGCCCCCGAAGUCUAAUAAGGGAACAAGAUUUGUUGGAGUAUUAAUGCUAGGCUCCUCCCAUCUUAUGCUCAGUCUGUGUGUGUGUAUGUGUAAACAAACCAACCAACCACCCACAACCCAACAGUGACAUUCCUUCAAAGGAAACCAAAAUAUGUACUGGGAUCCCUGAGAAAACGUACUGUUCAGAGAUUGGGGGCUUGUAACAAUAUGCUAUUUACUGAAACUAUUUGUAUGCCGCAUGUAUUUUCAUAUGCAUUUUUAUAAUAAAUGCCUACCAUACUCAUACCACAUUUCACAUUUCCUAAAGUAAGGACACAUAACUCUUUUAUACAUAUUAUAAUAUUACCUUUGAUGUGCAUUUUUGCAUGUAAAUCUUACAUAUAAAUCUUGCAGGCUUGCUUUAUUUAGUAGCUUAUUUGUUUAUUUAAAAAGCACCUGACAAUGUAUGAGCAGUUCAGACAGAAGGGAUUGCUCAAUACAGGAGGCAGCCAGAUGUGAGGAAAGCUUGAUCCAGUCAGAAGUACUAAAUUCUGUGUAUAAAUCUAUUCAAAACACAUUCCUCCUGCUUGCCUACCCUGGACAUUAAUAGCUUCAUUUGCUUCACCAUGACUCAGAAAAGUGCAACUUUGCCUUGGGGGUGGGGGACAGCUUCUUCAACUCCUUACAGGCCACCAAAGAGGUAGACAGGACCCUUCCUAGGGUGUCACAACCCCAAACAUUUUGGGAGGACAAUUUGGGGCUCCCCUCCACCACCCCACCAACCCUGUCACCCCGUCACCCCCUCCCUGCCGCCAAUCCCUUUCUCGCCUGCCUGCUCACUGCCGCAACCUGCUCACUCGCCCUCUCCCCUCUCCUUUACCUUGUUUGCUGUCUUCUGCCUUCAGCUAUGCAGCCUCAGGAGAUGCCAUGUGAUCCAGAGCGGCCAGUGGAAGUUUGCCACACCCUGCACAGCAUUGAGAGACACCGCAGCAGCCAGAGCAUGGAAGCCAAAAUGGGACAUCCAGGAUUGUGUCCUGAACCCCUGGCCUACCUGGUAACAAGUCAGUAUGCAAGCAAGGCCUAAAGUCCAGGAAACACAGUCCAGGGUCAGUCCAAGUAAGCCAAGUCUAAAGUCCAGCAGUCAGGCUACAGUCCAGUCAAACCCAAAGCACAGUCCAGGAGUAUCCAAGCCAAAAUCCAUCUAAAUUGGCUGUUGAGGAGACACAGCGCCUCAGCUCUGCUUCCCUUGUGUGCUUUGCCUGCUGGGCUUGAUGAGGCAUAUGACCCUCACCUGUUGGAGCUGAGGAAUCACACUCUUUCUCUCAGAGCUAGCGAGCCCCACCUGGCCAGCUAGAGAGCUGGGCUGUGGGCCCUUGCCUGCCUCAGCCUCCUAGAGCACCCCUCCUUGCUGCUCCCUACUUCUAGAGCAUGCCAUGUUCAUGGAGACAGGGGCCCCUCUGGCUUUAGGGUCCUGCUGCUCUGGGUCCUGUGCAAUGACCCCCAUUCCCUCACCAUCUUCUGUCACCCUAUGAGUACUUCCCUCCCCCAGGCUUACCCCGAUGUGUCCCAGUCCUGGUUAUACCCCUCCUCCUUCCCAUCAUACUGCCACUUCGUGACAGAUUGGGAUCAGAAGAUGGGGCAACUUCUGUCAAUCUGGGAAGUCCCAGUUAAAUCGGGGAAAUUUGGGAGUUAUGGGGUGUCCCAGGUUUCCUCUGUGUGCAGUCCUGUAUUUGAAGGGAUGUCUGGUUCAAAUACAGUUUAAAGGUAAGGAACCCUUUGCUGAUGUGUGGAGUGUUAGAGGCAUCUCCGUGUAAGUAUAGUUCUUGAUAGCGCUCUGCCCAUUGCUGCUGUCUGUGAUUAUCUCUCCAGACAAGGUUUACAGCAGUGCAUUUUCUUGACUUAUGGUCCAGAGGCUGUCUCCGUGUACAUUUUGUGAGUUGAAUACUCUGACACAGCUUUAGCCUGUAGACAAUGGCACAUCAACUGGCAAACCACUGGGCAUUGCUCCUCGCCUUUCUGAGUACAGCUUGUGUCUUCUCACAGUAGUGAAUAUUCAACGGAAUCAGAGAAGCAUUCAAAAAGUUCAGGUAUGGCUGUUUGGGCAGUGUAGAUUCAAGACCACACUUUCUGCUUUGAGCUAUGGGCCCUUGAGAAAGAUCUUGCUUGCUACCAGGGCAUGAUCUGUGUUACAGUUGACACUGUGGUAGCUCCAUGUGACAAAAACACAGUUCAGUACCAAUCUCCUGCUGCCAGUGGCCUAAUCCUGGAUAUCUUCAGGACACUUGCUGCUUUGUCUUGGUAGAGAAGAAUGUGUUUGUGAUGCAGAGGCUGUGAUACUGCCAUCCAUACAUUUGAGGUAACCUGUACUGUUGUUUCUGGGGACUUUUGUUUUUCUCUAAUGAAUUGUUUCUAGUGACCAAUAAGAAAAGUAAGUAGGUCAAGUGGGCUCUUUCACAACCAUUUAACUGUGGUUUCAGCCACCAGGGGAAUAACAUGUAAAAUGUGUGCCAUGCCAUUGUCUCUCUGAACACAAUUUUGAUUUUGAAAGCGUAAGGAGAAGAUCCACAUUGUAGUGUCACUGUUGGGUUAAUUUCCAGCUUAUUCUGUGAGGCUCACAAAACAGAUACACAACACCGUGUGCUCAUAUGAUAACAUUGUUAUUUAAAAAUAAAACACUAAUGAUAACUGAUGAAAUCUAUUUUUCACUUUUUGUCCUGUUUGGCCUGAUUUAUUAAUAAUUUGUGUUCUGUCAUGGAAACAGGCUUUCUGUUACUUGCACUGUGCCCUGAAAUUGUUUUAACAGCAGCUUAUAUUUUACUAUUGGGUGACUUUUAGGAGCCAUUGCAGUGCACAAUGCCAUCUCCAUAUCUUUAGUUCAGAGAUUUCAGAAGGACACCCAAAUUCUUCAUGGAGUAGGGUGGAUUUCCAUUGCAGUAUUUAAGAGUUUUUUUAAAACUGGUCUUCUUCACAUAAUAAUCCUGGGCAGUUAAAAUGACUAAUAUGCUGCUGUUGUUAGUGGAUGUCUUCUGGGUUACCAAGGCAGCCUGAGAUUGGCAUAAGGUGUGAACAGGACCGUGGCUGAUAAAAGUUGUGACAGCAACAGCAGCAGACUAAGCUAUUCAUGCUUUCUGCUUCUUUUAAAGAGAAAAUAGCCAUUUGGUUCAUAGCGUUUGAACUUGAGGAGAGGUGGGGAUUUUUAAAUAUUGCUGCAAAUGGGUCACACCUCUUCAUUCAUUAAAUUAAAGGAAAGCACUACCUCAUAGAAUCAUAAAAUUGUAGAGUUGGAAGGGACCCUGGGGGUCAUUAAGUCCAGCCCUCUGCAAUGCAGGAAUCUCAAAUAAAGCACCAAUGACUGCUGGCUAUCCAACCUCUGCUUAAAAACCUCCAACGAAGAAGAGUCCACCACCUUCUGAGGGAAUCUGUUCCUGCCUCAUGCAAGUCAUGCCAGAAGAUGUGCAAUGGGCUCACCCUGCAGCCCUACAAACUCAACAUAGCCAUCAACCUCAAAUUGGACACUGUUCCUCUGUUCCUUCUAGCAUUUUAUUGUUCAGAAUUUAGCUCGUGCUGUUCCUAGUAUUCAGAUCUUUUUUAAAAAAACAAUCACUUUGCCAUGAUGUGACUGAAAGGUGACAGGAGGCGGCUAGGAGUCUGACAAUCUGCACAGCAUCCUCCCCUUAUACCAUAGAGGCUGCUUGUACCAGACAAAAACUAGUAGCGAUUUCUCACAGUUGUCAAAGGCCAGCCACCGCAUUUCAUGUAAUAGACAAAAGGUCUUCACACCACUGCAUUCUGUAUAACAGGAGUAUUCUGUCUCCCUAUCUCUCUGCUACAAAAUUAUUUUAAUGGACCCUGUCAAACUUUGUUUCCUAAUAACUAUGUCUUAAUUUAUCUCAAGAGAAAGAACAGCAUAUAACCUCUCACAAAUGACUAAGAAUAUUUGCCCUCAGGGCCAGCUCAAGACAUUUUGCUCCCUGAGGCAAAGGACAUUACCACUUUAUAUGGUCAUGGAUUCCCUCAAAGAAUCCUGGGAACUGUAGUUUUUUACCAGUGCUAAGAGUUGUUAGCAGGCUCCUACUCCCUUCACAGACCAACAAUGCUAGAGUGGUUUAACAAUCAAUCUCUCUUCCCAGGGAAGUCUAGGAACCGUAGAUCAGUGAAGAGAAUAGGAGGAUCUCCUAACUACUCUCAGCACUGUUAAUAAACUAACUUCCCAAUAUUCUUUGGGGGAAGCCAUGAUUGUUUAAAGUGGCAUGGGACUGCAUUAAAUGUCAAGUGCAGAUGGGGUCUUUCUGUCUCUUGACUGCCAAUAUCUGCCUCACUUCCACACUACACAUUGUAUUGUUAAGCACCGUGCAGAUGGAAGUAUGAGACAAUUUCAGCACCCCAUUGUUCACACAUUAGCAGAUAAAAAGGAGUACGAACCACAUGCUAUUUUAGCUCAUCUCAUAAAAUGUGAACAAGUUCUCUCUGAGCCCCCUUCAAUAUUCUUCUACAAUUACAACUUGUGUAACAUUUUCAAUAAGAAACUGAGAUUAGAUUACAGUUCUGGAAAGUAGAGCAUUGGCCCUUUUAAAAAUGUCUGUUGUUAACAGCCUUGCCAAAUUAAUUAUAUGUCCCUAAAACUGAAAUUAUUUCUGUGCUGGGAAACAGUCAUAUCUCUCUGCCCCCUCUCUUCGUUUGGCAAGUGUAAAGACUUCUUUCAAUCAAGCAUUUCCAGUGCAGUGCAGUUAGGGAUAUAAUUGAAUAGGUUGUAAAAUGUACAGUAUGUAGCAUUUGGAGGCCAGUCUGCUAGGGAUUUUCUUCAAGAAGCCUGGGUUACUGCACUGCAUCUUAACUGUCAAGCUAUUUUUUUCCUUGCUAGGUUUCAUUUUGUGUUAUUUCUUCACCUUUUGGAGACCCCUUACCUCUCCCCUCUUAAAUCUACACUCACCACCGAGCAGACAUAAUCCAAGAUUUUCAGUAAAUCAACACUAUAUGCUCCCUACUGACUAAGAGAAUUUGAUACUGACAGAUUAUUACACCUAGAAGAAAAAUACUGCCAUAGUUUCUCUAACAUUAUUUGCCUGGAAGUGAGAGCAGGGAGAGAGACGUGUGUGAUAUCCAUUAUGAAUGUAACAAUGCCAGUAUUCUGCUGUAAUAGAAUUAUUUUUAAUUUAUAUUUCAUGACAGAGAACAUAGGUUUCACCAUGAAUCUCUUUCCCCAUCUUUAGCACAUUUUGGCCACAAGGUCCUGGAGAUACAAUUAGCCUCCUUAAUCACUGUGAUUAUUUAGACCACAACAAUGCCAUUGUUUUAGCUCAUGAGAUCUAUCCAACACAAUAACAUUUUGUAUUUAUAUGAACGACAGAUUAUUCCACUUGAUAAUCUCAACAUGCUUUGCAAGCAUUUAAUUAAUGCAGCCUCUUAAUGGCACUGUGAAGUAGGUAAAUAUUCCUUUCUGUAUUUUACCAAGAAGAAUGCUAGAUGUAGUAGUAGGCUGAGAUAGUGUGUACAUUACCCUCCCUCAGAGCAGGAGGAAUGGAGAAUUUCAUGGGAGAUUAUUUCAAGAUCCUGCACAAUAGGAUAUUCUGAUUCAAGUUUGUUGCAAAAAUUCCUUGGAAACCAAGGUCCAGUUUGGGGCAAGAGAACCCCAGCAGAGAUUUAACAUGGCAAAACCUGCAGCAAAGAAAAGUGUGGAAAUAUAGACUGUAAAACCUUUAAAGUGAGCCCUUUCCAGUGAACUCCAAAAUGUCCCCUUUAUAAAGCUCCUUCCAAAGUUUCCUACUCCCCUUAGCAUAGAAAAAUGUUUGGAAAGUUAUAAAAUGGUUAUUUACAAACUCUCCAAAGGUCAGAUUCAUGUGGUCUUCCACACAGCAGUAAAAAACAAACAAACGUUGAACAGGCAGUAAAAUGUAGCUUGGUUACAAAAUGGUAAAAGUUCCUAAACUACUGGUAUAAGAAAACACUAUUUUCAGUCUCCAUUCUGGUCUGAAACAAAAGAGGCUGGUUAAAGCCAUGCGGCUGGAGGAAACAAUUCAGAGCUCCUCACACACCAUAAAGGCUGAGGGAACAAAGGCUUGGUCAUCUAUUUCUUUUCAAGGUGAGGGGAAGCGGCAUAAGCUAAUACUAAAGCAGGACAGAAGACAGGAGUGCCUGGUGUGCUCUGGUCCAUGAGGUCACGAAGAGUCGGACACAACUAAACGACUAAACAACAACAAAGCAGGACAGCUUACUCUAUGGCAUCAUCCCCUUCAUGCAUUCAUUAGACUCAAGCAUGCUGGUUAUAUGAGGCUGGUUUAGCCCACAAAGUAUUGGUAUGGUGGGCAUUUGGCUAGGGCUGCUUUCAGAAGUGUCUGCUAUCCAAUGGUUGUUCUUACUCAGUAAGCUACAAUGAGAAUUGCAGCUGACUUUCCCUACUAUCAAGAGUGCUGUACUUUUCUCUAUGAGUAUGUGCCAGUGGGUGUGGCAUAUUUGCUUUGGGUGCAGUCCUUCUGAAUGUUUUAACUGGGACAAAAAUGCUCAUCUAGCUAUGAAAUAAAGGUCUACAACACCAUAAUGCUGUAAUGACUAAUGGGCACCUAAUUUCAGUAGGAAUUCUUUUGCCAUUCUUUUGCCAACUGUUAAGGACCCAUCUGUUAACCUUGACCGCUAGUACCGGUCCUGAUGCCUUGGUAUGGAAACAUUUUUCUGAAUCUCUUUGUUAUUGUGGUAAAUGAAAAGUGGUGUAUAAAUUUGCUAAAUAAAGAAAUAUAUUUCAUAUUUUUUUCUUUAAAAACAAACAAACAAACACUUCCUGGUCACUUUUAGCAACCAGAUGGUUUUAGCAACAUCAUUGAUGACAGUGACUGCAAAGGGUCUUUUAAAAAUCUUUUUUAAAGCAACAUUAUAGUGGUUUGUUUUUUUAUGCACUUUCUCCUAUAACCCUUCAGAACAGCUCCAGCUGUUGGCAGUACAUAAGCACUUCCGGUUCCACUGGGGAAUCUGUCUUACUGCAGAGACCAGUAUGUAGACAGUAGCCUUGAGCAGGGAUGGAAGGAUAAAUUAUGUUGCAUGAAUCCUCCCUUCCUCUGUGAAGGGACUGCAGGGAAAGAGGAAGGCAAAUUGGGCUCUGAGACUGCACUGUUGCUAUACACAGCACACUUCUGCACACCAAAGGAAAGAUUAGCAACGCCCUCCUCUUCCCCUCCAAAGUCACUGGAUGGGGAAGGGCAAAAUCCAGCUGUUUCUUCUCCUUUGCCCCUGGGAGAAGAGAUUUCCCCCAAAGUUCACCUUCCCACCAUCACCACCCCCCAUUGGUUUUCACAGGGAUCCCAGUCACUUGUAUGUAUUAACAAAGCAAUAAACUUUUAGAAAACUUAUUUAGAGUAAUAGGUACAGUCAGUCAUCAUUUCCAUUUACAGGCCAAGGCCACCCAUUGAAUCCUCCUUAGCAAAGGAGGUAUUUGAACUCAGGUUGACCAUGCUAUUUUCUGGGAUUACAUUGGUUAAUACGCUGUGUUUAAAUCCCAGGCAUUUUUGUAAGAUUAAGUCCUAAUAAUGACUCUUUAGAUUUGCACAGUAGCAUAGCACACGGCUGGGGCUAUACAAAUAUGAUAAAACAAAAUAACUGUAUCAUUAACACCAAUCAAAACAUCAUUUUGUGAUAAAUCCACAUGCAAAUUGCUCCCCCUUACUCCAGUUUGUUUACUUAUUUUUUUGAAAGGAACAUUCACUGAAUGAUUCGCCGUUAAUGGAGAAGAGAAGAUUAAGAAACAAAAACAGUAGCUUCAAUCCAUCAUUAGGGAAUUAAUCAAUUGGCAACCAGUGCAGGCAGCUAUUUAGAUCUGUGGCCUGAACAGCUUAAUUGGGAGAAGCAUGUUAAAAGGUCUAGAAUGAUGUUCAAAGGAACAUAAAUAGUACAUUUUGGACUUCUCAUCUGGCUUUGAUUUAACAGUUUCUAUACCAGGCACUUUAGGAAGAGAGCAAGAAAGAGAGAACACAUUCUAGGCCUAAUCAGAAUAUUCUUUCUUGACCUCAUAACAAAGGGUCAUUUGCAUUUUAAAAAAGUAAACAAAAAUAGCUUUAAAAGGGUUUGACUCCUCAGCAUUUGAACAUUUUUGCCAGCUAUCUCUGAAGAGUACAUUAAUAAUGAAAAAAACACCCAGAAAUAUCAAUCGGAAAAAGAAACUCACAACAAAAGCAGACAGACUCCACUCCCCCCAUCUCAAAAUAUUGAGAAUCUCCAGGGGCAGCACUCCCUGGGUUUGAUUUGUUUUUGGGUGGGGAUAAGGAGUAGGGACAAUCCAGGCAGAGGCAUCACUACCGCAGUUCAGGACUCCAGAGAGAUGCACUUAGCACUAACAAGGUGCCUUCAACCAGUCUCUCUCUCUCAACUUACCCCCUGUUUUGUCUAUGUUCUAAAACUACCGUACCUUUGGUGCUCAGACAAGGAGGAAGGGUGUUAGGCAGAUAGAGAGACACUGUUGGACUCAAGUGCCUAGCAACCCCAGCUAGCAUGGCCAGUGGUGAUGAGAGAGUUCUAAUACAACACAACAUCUGGAGGGCUACAAGUUGAGGACAGCUGCUUUACUCUCUCUCACACUCUCACGCAUGCACAGACACACAACACAAACCUUUAUCAGCUUUCUUUCUCUUAGAUGGGCAAGGGAGUAUGUGUAACCUUUCUGAAGCUUUGAUGAUGUGUGUCCCCCCCUGCAACUUCUACACAUUCUAUACAGAUGUCUGAGUAUUUCCGAACCAUUAGCAAUCUCCAUUAUCGAGCAAUCUCCUUAGCAAAGUCACAAUAAGGUUUUUACUCAGUUAAUGGAUAGGUUACACUUGAAUCUCCUGCCAACCUAGCAGUUCGAAAGCACGUCAAAGUGCAAGUAGAUAAAUAGGUACCGCUCCGGCGGUAAACGGCGUUUCCGUGCGCUGCUCUGGUUCGCCAGAAGCGGCUUAGUCAUGCUGGCCACAUGACCCGGAAGCUGUACGCCAGCUCCCUCGGCCAAUAAAGCGAGAUGAGCACCGCAACCCUAGAGUCGGUCACAACUGGACCUACUGGUCAGGGGUCCCUUUACCUUUACCUUUAUACUUGAAUAGUUUUCCCUUCCUGUUCCAGGUGUGAUUUCCAAGCCAUCCGAAAGAAGCAAGACCAUGCCCCAGAAUGCCUAACAGGGCUUAGCCUAUGAAAUGUGUGUGUCCUUCUACCUAUCUAAGGAACAAAUUAUACAUGAUAUUAAAUGUAUCUUUGCAUUUAAUGUGCACUAUUAAAAAAGCAUAAUUAUCAG